AGCUCCAAUAGCGUAUAUUAGUGUUGUUGCGGUUAAAAAGCUCGUAGUUGAAUUUCGGGAUUGGGAUAUAUCGGUCAUGCCUUUAGGGGCAUGAAUUGGUGUGUAGCCAAUUUCUCACCUUCUGGUGAAUUGGGAUGCUCUUGGGUGUUUCAAUGAACUAGGACUUUUACUUUGAAAAAAAUAUAGUGUUUAAAGCGGGCAUUUUUGCUUGAAUACAUUAGCAUGGAAUAAUAAAAUAGGACGAUGGUUCUAUUUUGUUGGUUUUAGGACCACGUAAUGAUUAAUAGGGAUAGUUGGGGGCAUUAGUAUUCAAUAGUCAGAGGUGAAAUUCUUGGAUUUAUUGAGGACUAACUACUGCGAAAGCAUUUGCCAAGGAUGUUUUCA
This 384-nucleotide ribosomal RNA is filed under the name uncultured eukaryote. RNAcentral's name for it is "SSU rRNA". It matches the Rfam family "Eukaryotic small subunit ribosomal RNA", at positions 587 to 972 of the family's 1831-position model. The record is from RNAcentral.